RNAcentral lists this ribosomal RNA (274 nucleotides) under uncultured bacterium. Its description in RNAcentral is "partial 16S ribosomal RNA". It matches the Rfam family "Bacterial small subunit ribosomal RNA", at positions 523 to 796 of the family's 1533-position model. The record is from RNAcentral.
AUACGGAGGGUGCGAGCGUUAAUCGGAAUUACUGGGCGUAAAGCGCGCGUAGGCGGUUAGAUAAGUCUGAUGUGAAAGCCCUGGGCUUAACCUGGGAAUGGCAUUGGAUACUGUUUGACUAGAGUGCAGGAGAGGAGGGUGGAAUUCUCGGUGUAGCGGUGAAAUGCGUAGAUAUCGGGAGGAACACCAGUGGCGAAGGCGGCUCUCUGGACUGACACUGACGCUGAGGUGCGAAAGCGCGGGUAGCGAACGGGAUUAGAAACCCCAGUAGUCC